CCCCCGGUAGCUCAGCGGUAGAGCUUCCGGCUGUAGACCGGAGGGCCCCGGGUUCAAGUCCCGGCCGGGGGACCA
RNAcentral lists this transfer RNA (75 nucleotides) under Thermofilum sp. Its description in RNAcentral is "tRNA-Tyr". It matches the Rfam family "tRNA". From Rfam's summary of the family: Transfer RNA (tRNA) molecules are approximately 80 nucleotides in length. Their secondary structure includes four short double-helical elements and three loops (D, anti-codon, and T loops). Further hydrogen bonds mediate the characteristic L-shaped molecular structure. tRNAs have two regions of fundamental functional importance: the anti-codon, which is responsible for specific mRNA codon recognition, and the 3' end, to which the tRNAs corresponding amino acid is attached (by aminoacyl-tRNA synthetases). tRNAs cope with the degeneracy of the genetic code in two manners: having more than one tRNA (with a specific anti-codon) for a particular amino acid; and 'wobble' base-pairing, i.e. permitting non-standard base-pairing at the 3rd anti-codon position. Lineage: Archaea; Thermoproteati; Thermoproteota; Thermoprotei; Thermofilales; Thermofilaceae. RNAcentral also lists the same sequence under 3 other names. The record is from RNAcentral.